This is a long non-coding RNA of Musa acuminata AAA Group (dessert banana), 788 nucleotides long. RefSeq lists it as uncharacterized. NCBI's taxonomy places the organism in Eukaryota, Viridiplantae, Streptophyta, Magnoliopsida, Zingiberales, Musaceae. The record is from RefSeq and is a predicted model, not a curated record. The transcript has 3 exons.
UUACAUUUUGGGGAUUAUCAUUAUUGCAUGCUUUUACUCUACUGUUUGUCUAUGGUCAAGCAUUCAGUAGAUGUAGGCCACACCUUUGAUGCGUAUUCGAUUGGGUUUCACUGGCUGCUAUGUUGAUCAGGCUUUAGAAUCUAAUGAUUCAAUCUGGCAUGAUCUUACUAAUCAGUCUUUAGGGCUAUUGUAGAUAGUUUCAGUUUCACAGGUAGUUUCUUAUGAAGCAGUUUCGUCUCGACUCCAUACAUAUGCUGACCUUCCAUGGGCUUCAUCUAUGAUAAGAAAUUCUAUUUCUAAUGCCCGUUUGCUUUCUCCGGCCUAGGGAGGCUCAGAAAGCUGUUGAUGAAGCUAAGGCUCAGUUUGGUCACAUUGAUGGAGAUCACCUAAUGCUGUGAAAUGUAUAUCACGCGUACAAGCAGAACAGGGAGGACCCGUCAUGGUGUUAUGAGAAUUUUAUUGACCAAAGGACUCUAAAGGCUGCUGACAAUGUGAGGCAACAGCUUGUGCGUAUUAUGGCUAGAUUCAACCUCAAGCUAUGAAGUACAGAUUUCAACAGCCGUGAUUAUUACAUUAACAUCAGGAAGGCGAUGCUUGCGGGGAACUUCAUGCAGGUAGCUAAUUUUGAGAAAAGUGGAAACUACCUGACAGUGAAGGACGAUCAGAUUGAUCGAUAUGGUUCGACACUACACUACUAUGAUUUGAGCAAACUUUCCCUCUGUGCGAGGCGAAACGAGUACCGGAAAGGUUGCAUUAUAAACGUGGGAAAGAGAAGGGGGAGAAUAAAA